CAGUAGCCGCGGUAAUACGAGGGGGGCGAGCGUUGUUCGGAAUUAUUGGGCGUAAAGGGUGCGUAGGCGGUUCGGUAAGUCUUAUGUGAAAUCUUCGGGCUCAACUCGAAGUCUGCAUGAGAAACUGCCGGGCUUGAGUGUGGGAGAGGUGAGUGGAAUUUCCGGUGUAGCGGUGAAAUGCGUAGAUAUCGGAAGGAACACCUGUGGCGAAAGCGGCUCACUGGACCACAACUGACGCUGAUGCACGAAAGCUAGGGGAGCAAACAGGAUUAGAUACCCCCGUAGUCCCUGUCUCUUAACA
Molecule: ribosomal RNA, 301 nt
Filed under: uncultured bacterium
Lineage: Bacteria
Description: partial 16S ribosomal RNA
Rfam family: Bacterial small subunit ribosomal RNA
Source: RNAcentral